GCCACUUUGGCGCAGCUGGUAGCGCACGUGCCUUGUAAGCAUGAGGUCGGGGGUUCGAACCCCUCAAGUGGCU
RNAcentral lists this transfer RNA (73 nucleotides) under Methanomethylophilus alvi. RNAcentral describes it as "Candidatus Methanomethylophilus alvus tRNA-Thr". It matches the Rfam family "tRNA". Rfam says of the family: Transfer RNA (tRNA) molecules are approximately 80 nucleotides in length. Their secondary structure includes four short double-helical elements and three loops (D, anti-codon, and T loops). RNAcentral also lists the same sequence under 3 other names. The record is from RNAcentral. Lineage: Archaea; Methanobacteriati; Thermoplasmatota; Thermoplasmata; Methanomassiliicoccales; Methanomethylophilaceae.